AUGCGAAGAAAUGAUCA
Molecule: small RNA, 17 nt
Filed under: Arabidopsis thaliana (thale cress)
Lineage: Eukaryota; Viridiplantae; Streptophyta; Magnoliopsida; Brassicales; Brassicaceae
Description: ATSL242910
Source: RNAcentral